RNAcentral lists this ribosomal RNA (492 nucleotides) under uncultured Glomus. RNAcentral describes it as "SSU rRNA". It matches the Rfam family "Eukaryotic small subunit ribosomal RNA", at positions 569 to 1066 of the family's 1831-position model. The record is from RNAcentral. Lineage: Eukaryota; Fungi; Glomeromycota; Glomeromycetes; Glomerales; Glomeraceae.
AGCAGCCGCGGUAAUUCCAGCUCCAAUAGCGUAUAUUAAAGUUGUUGCAGUUAAAAAGCUCGUAGUUGAAUUUCGGGAUCAAUAUAUCGGUCGUGCCUUUGGUACGUACUGGUAUCAUUGAUUUCUCCUUUCUGACGAAUCAUGAUGUCAUUAAUUUGGUGUUAUGAGGAGUUAGGACUGUUACUUUGAAAAAAUUAGAGUGUUUAAAGCAGGCAUUAGCUUGAAUACAUUAGCAUGGAAUGAUGAAAUAGGACGUUUGACCCUAUUUUGUUGGUUUUUAGGAUCGACGUAAUGAUUAAUAGGGAUAGUUGGGGGCAUUAGUAUUCAAUUGUCAGAGGUGAAAUUCUUGGAUUUAUUGAAGACUAACUACUGCGAAAGCAUUUGCCAAGGAUGUUUCAUUAAUCAAGAACGAAAGUUAGGGGAUCGAAGACGAUCAGAUACCGUCGUAGCCUUAACCAUAAACUAUGCCGACUAGGGAUCGGAUGAUGUUAA